UUUAUUUCAUUUUCUUGCCUAAUUGUCUUGUCAGUUAGUUGAAUGUUGAAUAGAAAUGGUGAGAGUAGACAUUCUUUCUUGUUCCUGAUCUUGGGAAGAAAGCCUUGUGUCUUCUACCAUUACGGAUGAUGUUGGCUUAGGUUUGUUUUGUUUUGUUUUCAUCAGGUUUAGGAGGCUUCCUUCUAAUCCCAGUUUGUUGAGUGUUUUUGUCAUGAAGGGGUGUUGGCUUUUGUCAAAUGCCUUUUCUGUGUCUGUUGGGAUCAUCAUGUGGCUUUUUUCCCUUUAUCCUAUUUAUGUGGUGUAUUACACUGAUUGAUUUUCACUUGUUGCCAACGCUGCAUUCCUAGGAUAAAUCCCACUUGGACAUGGUGCAUAAUUCUUCUUAGACAUUGCUGGAUUAUGCUUACUAGUAUUUUGCUGAGGAUUUAAAAAAUCUAUAUUCAUAAGAGAUAUUGGUCGGUCGUUUUUUUAUGAUGUCUCUGGUUUGGUAUGAGUGUAAUACUAGCAUCAAAGAAUGAGUUGGGAAGUGUUCCCUCCACAUCUAUUUUUUGGAAAAGUUUGUGAAGAAUUCAUUCUUCUUCAAAUGUGUGGUAUAAUUCACCAGUGAACCCUUCUGGCUCUGAGACUCUCUUUGUGGGUAGUUUUUGUUUUUUUUUUUUUUUUUUUUACUAAUCCAAUCUCUUUACUUAUUAUAGGUCUCUUCAUGAGCAUUCUUUUUGAAUGGUUACCCAAUACGCUCUCAGAUGGAAUGCCAAUUCUUAAAUUUCUUUUAGGAGGAUUGGACACUAAGAAGGAAAAGGGCUAGAUUCGCCCAUUCAUGCAGUUAUUCUUCCAAAACACGUACUGAGCACCUCUGGUUGUGAUCUGUGCUAGGCCCGGAGGCUACUGAGACAAACAAGACAGCCACAGGAACUACCCUUAGGAGUAUGGAGUGGACAAGCUGAUUUCAGGUCUGAGUCUGAGUUGCCCACAACUGAGUGUGAGAGGAGGCCCAGCCACGCUCAUUGAUCUCUGGGCCUUUCUUAGCUCCAAAUAGCAAUGCCUUGAAGUCCUCUGGCACUUUCCAGCUUACAAAGCACUUUCACUUAUAAAAUCUCAUUAUAGUAGAUCUUUAAGGACAACUCAGCAAAGUUCACUAUCCAUCUUUGCAAAAGAUGAGAAAACCAAGGUUCAGAGAAGACCAGUAUAAAUUCAAAUGGUUAGGAAGUACCUCUCCUAUAUUAGUUCCAAGUAAGGUACUAGAAGAGAAAGACGAAACGAUGAGGUCCUUGCCUUCAAGGAGCUCUCAGCCUGAGACAGAGAGAGACAGGGAGUCAGAGGUGCACUUAAGCAUUACAAGUCUUUGAUGGACAUCUCUACAAGGUAAAUUGGGGGCAGGGAAGAGGGUGGCUCAGAAAAGCCCCCACCACAGGUGUGACCUAUGAACUGCAGCUGGGAGCAAUGUGGCCAUUAUCCGAGGAAGUCACAAAAGUCCUUCAGAACUAGGGUGACCAUAUGUCCUAAUUUUGCCGGAGUAAUCCUGGUCUACUCCUGUUACCCCAGUUUAAGCAUCAGUAUCGUCUUUAACACUCAAAAUACCCAUUUUAUAUUUACAAAGUUUCAAAGUAUUUCCCUAAAAGAUUAUUAUAAUUACAAAGGGAAGUAAUAGUUACUUUAUAGUGGAGAAAUCUGGCAGACGCUCAACCCAGUGACCACGGUUAACAUCAUCACUAAUGAGACAAACAUUAUGUGCCUCCUGAUAUGAUGUGCUGAGAAGGACACAAUGGUAUUUCUGUGGUAUUCUUGCCAAAAAUACACAAACUGAAUCUAAUCACUAAGAAACAUCAGACAAACCCAAACUGAGGGACAUUUAACAACAUAACUGGGGCUGGCCUGGUGGCACAGAGGUUGAGUUCGCAUGUUCCACUUCAUCGGCUCAGGGUUCGCCGGUUCGGAUCCUGGGUGCGGACACGGCACUGCUUGUCAACUCAUGCUGUGGCAGGCAUCCCACAUAUAAAAUAAAGAUGGGCACGGAUGUUAGCUCAGGGCCAGUCUUCCUCAGCAAAAAGAGGAGGAUUGGUGGCAGAUGUUAGUUCAAGGCUAAUCUUCCUCAAAAAAUAAAUAAAUAAAUAACUGGUCUAUACUCUUGAAAAAUGUCAAGGUCAUGAAAGACAAGAGACUAUUCUAGAUUAAAGGAGACUAAAGACAAAUCACAACUAAAUGCAAUGCAUAGGAUGGGAGUAGAUCCUGGGUGGAAAAAAAGAACAUUAGUGAGUCAUGUAGUGAAAUUUGAAUAAAGUCUGUGGAUUAGAUAAUAGUACUGUUAUCAAUGUAGAAUGUCCUUGCAUUUAGAAUGGAUGAUAAGUAACGUGAUCUCCCUCUGCAGAACCCAGGGAGAACCAGCCUCCUCCCCUCCCAGCCUACAGACCUUUUACCAUCAACCAUUGGAGCCAGCCACUCAGCCUCCCCAUCACUGAGGGGUCCAGAUAAGCAGGGUUGGUGUGCCCUCGUCAGCAGAGCACCGCCUGUUCACCACUACGCUGGGAGGUGCCUCCAAUCUUCUGGCCUCUUAGCUACACACUGCUUAAGGGCUCAGCCAAGGAAAUCACUGAGCUGCUUUUCCCAACAAUCAGAAAUAAGAUUCUCAAACAAAAGAGAAAGAAAACUAGGAGAGAAGUUGCCCUUUUUGUGGUCAUUUCAGCUUUCCUGUUGGGUGGGUCAAGGGCUCCUCAGAUCUGAUUUUCUGGCCAGGCCUUAUGUAAUCUGUGGGCUAAAUAGUUGCUGGAGAAGGGGUGUUUUUUCUUCCAACUGUGGCCUCUCACCUGCUUCAUGGGUCUCUUAGAAUAAUCCUUUCAGGGCCAGAAUAAAAUAUGUGGACAUGUUGGGCAGGCUGAUCGUUUGGUAUCCGCUCAAACGGAUAUUAUUUAAAUAUUUGCUUAGUGGGAGCAGGAGGAACUGAUCUUGGACUCAUACACAGGAAUAAACAGUUCAACUCACCGAGUAUACCUCUGCUGGCUGGAGCAGGCAGUGGACUUAAAAUACAGGGCAAAAAAAAGAUUUCCUGUGUUUGUGGUCCUUCUCACUUGUUUUCUUUUGGAACUUUCUGAACCAAAUACUUUUAACCUCAGUUACAGAAUUAAGUUACACAUAAUAUUCAGUUUAUCAUUUAUUAUCAUCUGCUGUCUGGGCCAUGCCUCGCUCUUGUAUUUAUUUUAUUUCAUUGUAUUUUCCCUUCAUCUCUGUUCCAUGCUUCUCCCCAAGAGCACUCAGUGUAAUGUGUAGUAUUUCCUUGGAUAUAAACUUACCUUUGAAAAAUACAGAGAAUUGUUUAAUCUAUGCAUGCAUUUGAAGGGCAUAUAAACAGUAUUCCAACUUUAGCUGCAUCAGAAUCACCCAGAGAAAACACAGAUUCCUGGGCCCCACCCCCAGACACUCUGAUUCUGCAGUUCUGGGUGGGUCUGAGGUCCUACGUUUGUUACGGGUUCCCUGGGGAUGCUGAGGCUGCUGGCCAGCGGGCCACACUUUGAGUAGAACUGUUUUAGAUCUCUGUCUAUUUUUAAAAUUGUAUCAUUCCACACCAUAUUUUCAAGAUCUGUCUAUAUUAUUGUAUGUACCUCUAGUUUAUUGAUGUUGGCUGAUCCAAGAAUUCUGUGGUCUGCCUCGCUUUAACAAUUUACUUUUCUACUCCCCUAGUGAUGAACAGACACGACCCCUCUAUCUCACAUAAGUGCUGCAAUAAAUGUGCUUCUCCAUGUGUCCUCACGGACUGGGAAUGAGUUUCUCUGAGGCAUGUGCCCAGGAGCGGGGAGUGCUGCGCUAGGGGUACACAUGUACACACCUAAUUCCUCCACGUGGGGAGACACACAUAGAGAGACACCUGGAGCCCUCAACUCCAGCUCAUCUCCCAGGUGAAGCACCCACUUGCCGGCCUGAUGGAGCCAUAUUAGAAGCAGAUCCUCCAGCCUUUAGUUGAGGCCUCCAGCCGACACCACCCGGAGCAGGACUGAGUCCUCCCUUCUCUGCCAGACCCUGUCCAAACUGCAGAUUCAUGAG
This 4032-nucleotide long non-coding RNA is filed under the name Equus asinus (donkey). RNAcentral describes it as "lncRNA (ENSEASG00005027657.1)". Lineage: Eukaryota; Metazoa; Chordata; Mammalia; Perissodactyla; Equidae. The record is from RNAcentral.